UACAGAGGUCUCAAGCGUUGCUCGGAUUCAUUGGGCGUAAAGGGCGUGUAGGCGGGUCAGUAAGUCGGGCGUGAAAUCCCUGGGCUCAACCCAGGAACUGCACUCGAAACUACUAUUCUUGAGUGUCGGAGAGGAAAGCGGAAUUCCUGGUGUAGAGGUGAAAUUCGUAGAUAUCAGGAGGAACACCAGUGGCGAAGGCGGCUUUCUGGACGAUAACUGACGCUGAGACGCGAAAGCGUGGGGAGCAAACAGG
RNAcentral lists this ribosomal RNA (253 nucleotides) under uncultured bacterium. RNAcentral's name for it is "partial 16S ribosomal RNA". It matches the Rfam family "Bacterial small subunit ribosomal RNA", at positions 524 to 776 of the family's 1533-position model. The record is from RNAcentral.